UACGUAGGGUGCGAGCGUUGCCCGGAUUUAUUGGGCGUAAAGGGCGCGUAGGCGGUGAGAUGCGUCCGUUGUGAAAUCGCCCGGCUCAACUGGGCGGGGUCAGCGGAUACGGUCUCACUUGAGCAAGCUAGGGGGCAAUGGAAUUCCGGGUGUAGCGGUGAAAUGCGUAGAUAUCCGGAGGAACACCGAUGGCGAAGGCAGCCGCCUGGCCUAGGACUGACGCUGAGGUGCGAAAGCGUGGGGAGCGAACGGG
This 253-nucleotide ribosomal RNA is filed under the name uncultured bacterium. RNAcentral's name for it is "partial 16S ribosomal RNA". It matches the Rfam family "Bacterial small subunit ribosomal RNA", at positions 524 to 776 of the family's 1533-position model. The record is from RNAcentral.